GACGAACGCUGGCGGCGUGCUUAACACAUGCAAGUCGAACGGAAAGGCCCAGCUUGCUGGGUGCUCGAGUGGCGAACGGGUGAGUAACACGUGGGUGAUCUGCCCCUAACUUCGGGAUAAGCUUGGGAAACUGGGUCUAAUACCGGAUAGGACAAUCGUUUAGUGUCGGUUGUGGAAAGUUUUUUCGGUUAGGGAUGAGCCCGCGGCCUAUCAGCUUGUUGGUGGGGUAAUGGCCUACCAAGGCGUCGACGGGUAGCCGGCCUGAGAGGGUGGACGGCCACAUUGGGACUGAGAUACGGCCCAGACUCCUACGGGAGGCAGCAGUGGGGAAUAUUGCACAAUGGGAGCAAGCCUGAUGCAGCGACGCCGCGUGGGGGAUGACGGCCUUCGGGUUGUAAACCUCUUUCGACAGGGACGAAGCUUUGGUGACGGUACCUGUAGAAGAGGCACCGGCUAACUACGUG
RNAcentral lists this ribosomal RNA (464 nucleotides) under uncultured bacterium. RNAcentral's name for it is "partial 16S ribosomal RNA". It matches the Rfam family "Bacterial small subunit ribosomal RNA", at positions 28 to 507 of the family's 1533-position model. The record is from RNAcentral.